CCCUAUCAGCAGCAGGAGCAGCAGCAACAUUGUACCCAUCAGUCCAAUAGGCGGGAUUAAUGCACCUGUAAGCUGAUUUGUCAAACGCCAUCAGGCCCCGAAGAAGAACGGAGGAGGACAGCACUACUGUGGUAGAGGAGCGGUGUGUGUGCAGACAUGGCUGCUGUUGAUGAAGCGGACUGAACUUGGAGGAGAGACACAAACUGAAGUAUUGAUCCCGUCACAUCAGUGUGGAUCUGAUACCAACGUCUGGAUCGCUUCAUCGAUGCUUGUAUCGAUCCGCUCAGCCUGAGUUGAAGCAGCGAUGAGUUCAGCUCAGUAUCUGAGAGAGUUCAUCAAGAAGAGACUAACUGCUGUUUGUGAAGAAAUCUUCUCAGAGGUUCAAAAAACCAUCGUCCAGUAUGAGGAGGAGAUCAACAAUCAGCACAGACUGCUGGAUAUCAGCCGGAAACCCGACAGAAACUCACACAUCAUAGACCUCCCACAACAACAUGACUGUGAGGAAGAGGAGGGUCU
Maylandia zebra (zebra mbuna) is the source of this 516-nucleotide non-coding RNA. The record is from RefSeq and is a predicted model, not a curated record. Lineage: Eukaryota; Metazoa; Chordata; Actinopteri; Cichliformes; Cichlidae.